UAUUGACUGUCAAGCAAAUAUUAGUAACUCUGAAUGCAAAUAUAAAGUUCAAAUAAUACAUUCAGAUAGUGAAUUUAAGAAAGACAAUGAGUUAAAUGUAAGUCAAAAGAUUGAAAUCAAACCUUCUUCAUUCAAAUCUAACAUCUUUUCAAUUGGAGACAAUUUUUUUCUGGGAUUCUACUAAAUAUUGUUCAAGGCUUGACAAAGUGGAGAUUAUUGUGAGACAAAGUGCUUAAGAAAAGUCAAUUUGAUUCAAUUUGAGCUUCCAACUUACAAAAGUAUCAAAAAUUAUUACUCGUAUCGUUAGUAUGAGUGCAAAACUAACAACUUCUGUUCAUGCGGUUUAUUGUUUCAGCGUUACUUCAAUUAAAUAAUAAAUCAAUGUGAAUGAGUUAAUUAUAUUGGAUAACAUUGACCUUUCAACUUGAAAACAACGGCUUCUUGAAACUUCAACAACAUCAAUGUAAAAUUUGAUCUGCCGCUCACGAAUCAUCUCAGGAUCUUUUGCUUUCUCAUCAUCUCCAUUGUGAUCUUCCCUAAUAUCUUCCUUCUUGUUUCUUCGCCUUUAUUUUAGGCUCAAAAAUAAGGUUAGUAAACCCAUCAAAAUGUCAAUAACAGUAAACCACGCUUAGGCCUAACAUUGCCUAAGGUUAUUUUAAUGUUAACAACCAAAGCUCAACUUCAAUCAAUCAUGUUCACAUUGGUGUUAACCUUUCAUCUUGACUGUCGCCAUCUUGGUCUUGUUAAUAUAAAUACAUUUUCACAGGUAAGGCAACAAUUAGACAAACAUUGUUAUUAAUACCAAGUUAAGGUAAUGUGUUAAAUCCUCGUGCCGGCUUCUUAACAAGUAAAUUUAAUUAACUUGAUUAUAUUCAUUAUAUUCCGUUUAUUUCAUUGAAACAUUUCCCGUUUAGAUUGAGAGUCUCUAGUGAUAUCAGUUAACUUAUUGAGAUAUUGUAAGAAUCAUGAUUAUACCUUUACUACGAGUCAAAACUCAUUUGUUAGUUAGUUCUUACUUUUAGGCAGUUAAACCGUCUUAACGAUGAUUCCAACUAGAUUAAGGUCAAUUGAAGGUAAAUUAGAAAUAGAUUGUUCAGAUUAAAUCAAGAUCACAAUUGGAUGCUGUUGAGUGCAGGUAAAGUUAAUGAAGAAGCAAAGUUUAUCAAUAAAAGUCCAAUUCUAGCAAAGAGUAAAGAAGAGAGAUAAAUAGAAAUAUGAUUUGUUGUUGUUUAAUGGCACUUAUGGUGCUAGAAUAUUCAUAACGGAAUGUUAAAGUUAAAUCGUACAUUUUGUCUUUUUAUUUCAUCGAGAAGUUGAGGUCAUUUGCAAAGGUCUUAAGGUUACUUGGUAAGAACACUAAUCUAAUUUUAACGAUGCCAAUUACCUGACCUCUCAUAUUUGCUGUUUAAACGCAAGUUGAAAUUAUAUGAUCAUGAAGGUGACGAAAGGUGAAGAGGAGGAGGAAGAAAAGGUGAUGAGAAACAAUGGUACAUUAUUUGAAAAGAGGAAAAAACUGUUAAACUUGAAAACAAUUUCAAGUAACAAUAGAGACUCUCCAAAGUGGACAUUAUUUAGUCAACUAGACUUUACAUUCAUGUCAACAUCUUUGGUCCCAUCUUUUGUUUGAAUACUAACUCUUUUUUUCUUACUUUUCAUAGACUGUCAACUUUUAAUGACUGUUUGAACCUGUUCAUUAAGGCGACUCUAGAAAGAGGUAAAGGUCAAAUGCACAAAGAAUAGCCGUUUUCUUGGAUCCAUUUGUAGGAGUAUUUCAUGGUUUAUCUCGAUGUGUAUGGUUACUUUUGACUUUUUUUGCGGUCAAAGUAAUAUUUAUUAAUACAUUAAGGGAAUGCUCAACACUGGACUUUAACCAAAGCCGUCAAGAGAAGAAGAUCGAAGCCUCUAUUAAGCUAAAUUAACAUGGCAAAAGCUAAUGGGUUAGAUGAAACAAAAUGUGAACUCGAAUAAAGCUACGGGUCAUUGAACGGAAUUGUUUUGGACCAAGCAGUUUGUCAAUGAUGAGCAAAGAAUAAGAAUAUUGCCAAUUGAAAGCCAAAGAUAAACAUAUGGAGAGUAGGUUAAGGUUCUUCUCUAUUUACGUCUUUUUGUUUUCUUCUUACCUGGCGAUGAAAAUAAAUAUUGCGCGUGUAAAUGAUGAUCAGACCAAUGGGAUGAAGCUGGAUGAUAAAGAGUGGCUCGUGCUUUAGAUUGAUAUGCUUGAAAGAUCAUCUUGUUUUGAAGCACUUUUAUCUUCUUCUUUUCGUUUGAUUUUUAGCCUUUUUGGUCUCAAAACCAAUCAUUAAAUGGGCGAAUUUAAUCCUUACUCUUGAUAAGUAACAAUUAAAAUAACAUAUUGAAAAUUAUGUUAUCUUGAAGUAGUCAAUUCCCAUAAAGUUCAGCAAUAUGUGAAAUGUUAAAUUGAAAAUGAAACAGCAGCACUUAGCUUUUAAUUCAAUGAAUGAGUUAAAAUUUAGCACAUGUAUUAAACAAUUUGAACAUUUGCCAAGUUAUGAUAUUACUUGACAAUAAAUUUACUUGACAAAUCCCGCAAUUUUUCACAAAACCCAGUCACUUGCCUUUUUUAUCAUCCACUUCAUCAUUGUCAUUUAAUUGUGUUUUUUACACAAAAAAUAAACUUCGUUACGCGUCUUUUAAUUCACCAAUUAUCUUCUUCAUCUUCUUGCCUCUAAUUAUCAAGGCUCACAAUUGAUCGGCUCAAUGAUUACAACUUGACUUGAUCUUCGCCAUCGUCUUCGUCUUAUUAUCCAUUUCUACAUUUAACCUUGUCAUUGAGCCCAGGUCAAUAACAGCUCAAUUGGUCACAAUUCAAAGCCGAAAGAUCCACCGACCUCCAACAAUGUCAGCGAUCAAAGGACAAUUUAUUAUUAACCAUGGAAAGCAAACAAAAGGAAACUUCAACAGCUACCUGUUGAUACAAUUAGCCAUUGAGAUAUUGCCAUUUCAAACUAAAGAAAUGAUAAAUGUCCACAAAAUUACGAUGAAAUAUCUAUUAAGAAUCACCAAGGAUGGACACAAUUCACCAAAAUUUGCCACAAUUGAAGACGGUUGAAGUAACUUAAGAUGUACUUACCAUAGGAAUCUCAAAAUUUCCGUUUACCUUUUCUUGUUGCUUACAAAUUUCUUCUUAACUUUAACAUUCUAACGUUAUGUUAGUUCAGGUCAGUUAAGGUGAAAGAGAUGCAGACAGGGUUGGUCAGUUGUUUAAAACAAUUUUUGAAAUUUUGUGUGGUUAUUCAAAUUAAUUUGAAUCGCACUUUAAUGAGUACAAAUGAGACGAACCGCUAUAAUCAAAUUAACAUUGAUAACAAUUAUCUAACCAAAAGUCUAAUUUUAACAAUCAUUGCAAUAAUUACAAUUGCAAAGUUAAUUUAGAUCAUAACUGAUUGCUACUGUUUAUAAAUUGCAAUUGAUAAAGGCUAAUUGAAAAUCAUUUGAAAAUAGAAAUGUAAAACAAUUGAAAAGCUUACUCAACUAUUAAUACUAAUAACUAAUAAAUGAAUUUUGUCCCUCAUUUCAUUGUAAUA
Tetranychus urticae (two-spotted spider mite) is the source of this 3545-nucleotide non-coding RNA. Lineage: Eukaryota; Metazoa; Arthropoda; Arachnida; Trombidiformes; Tetranychidae. The record is from RefSeq and is a predicted model, not a curated record.